Molecule: ribosomal RNA, 253 nt
Filed under: Acidobacterium sp.
Lineage: Bacteria; Pseudomonadati; Acidobacteriota; Terriglobia; Terriglobales; Acidobacteriaceae
Also listed under: 2 other names
Description: partial 16S ribosomal RNA
Rfam family: Bacterial small subunit ribosomal RNA
Source: RNAcentral
UACGGAGGGAGCAAGCGUUACUCGGAAUUAUUGGGCGUAAAGGGCGCGUAGGCGAUCUGAAAAGUUCUGUGUGAAAGCCCACAUGUUAACUGUGGAAGUGCACAGAAAACUGUUGGAUUUGAGUUCAGGAGAGGAAGGCAGAAUUCCCGGUGUAGCGGUGAAAUGCGUAGAGAUCGGGAGGAAUACCAGUGGCGAAGGCGGCCUUCUGGACUGACACUGACGCUGAGGCGCGAAAGCCAGGGGAGCAAACGGG